CCUACGGGAUGCAGCAGUGGGGGAUAUUGCACAAUGGGGGGAACCCUGAUGCAGCGACGCCGCGUGGGUGAAGAAGCGCCUCGGCGCGUAAAGCCCUGUCAGCAGGGAAGAAAAUGACGGUAACUGAAGAAGAAGCCCCGGCUAACUACGUGCCAGCAGCCGCGGUAAUACGUAGGGGGAAAGCGUUAUCCGGAUUUACUGGGUGGAAAGGGGGCGCAGGCGGCGAUGCAAGUCAGGAGGGAAAGCCCUGGGCCCAAGCCCGGGACUGCUUUUGGAAUUGCGGGGCUGGAGUGCAGGAGGGGAAGGAGGAACUCCUGGUGUAGCGGUGAAAUGCGUAGAUAUCAGGAGGAACACCGGUGGCGAAGGCGGCCUGCUGGACUGUAACUGACGUUGAGGCCCGAAAGCGUGGGGAGCAAACAGGAUUAGAUACCCGAGUAGUC
This 440-nucleotide ribosomal RNA is filed under the name uncultured bacterium. RNAcentral's name for it is "partial 16S ribosomal RNA". It matches the Rfam family "Bacterial small subunit ribosomal RNA", at positions 338 to 795 of the family's 1533-position model. The record is from RNAcentral.